CCAGGAAUCCAACCCUGAUCUCCUGCCUUGCAGGCAGAUUGUUUACCAACUGAGCUACAAGGGAAGCCCAAGCUGGGGGCUAGCAGAGGAUGGUUUCGAUCCAUCGACCUCUGGGUUAUGGGCCCAGCAUGCUUCCACUGCACCAUGCUGCUCUACCUCCCACUCUAGAAGAAUAUUAAUACCCUCUUCUAGGAAUGUUCCCAGCCUUAAAAAUAGCUCUAGAAACCUGUAUGUACAUUUUCCAUGAAUUCAAUCAACAAACACGUUUUGAGCACCUCCCGAGUACCAGGUCCUGGGGAUACAGUGGCAGCAUCACAAACCCGGUGUCCUGACUUCCAGGUGCUACCGAUUUGGUCAGUUCAGUCGCUCAGUCGAGUCCGACUCUUUGCGACCCCAUGGACUGCAGCACGCCAGGCCUCCCUGUCCAUCGCCAACUCCCGGAGCUUGCUCAAACUCAUGUCCAUCGAGUCGGUGAUGCCAUCCAACCACCUCAUCCUCUGUCGUCCCCUUCUCCUCCUGCCUUUAAUCUUUCCCAGCAACAAGAUCUUUUCCAGUGAGUCAGUUCUUCGCAUUAAGUGGCCUAUUUGGUAGAAAAGGACAAAGAAGAGCAUUACCUUCGAGGUAGUUAAGUGUUAACGACAGAGUGUACAGAAGCAGUGAGGAAAAGGCUACAGAUCUCAGGAGGACCCAAAAGAGUAGGGGCGGCUACAGGGGGGGAAAAAGUCAAAGAAUGGAUCCUGUAACCCUCUACUCUUCUUCGCCUUAACCAAUCAGGCGUCAGCAUCGCCCGGCCGGCAGACCAAUCAGAAGCCGGAACAGGGGCUCUAGUCGCCGAUAGAGGCUUCCCCGGGGAGUGUGGCCAGGGCCCGGGUGCCCCGCCCCACCACUCAAGGCCCCGCCCCCAGGGCGGCGGGCCACGCCCAGACCCCGCCCAAGGCCCGCCCCGCCGCGGCCAGCAGCGCCUGCCCCCGAGUCCCCUGGCCAGCGGACGGCUGCUGGGGCCGAGUAUUGUCUUAAACGCCGAAAAAAGAAGAAAGGCGGGAGGGUGGGGAACUGCCAAGUGACCGGGAGAGGAUUUAUAACAUGUUCUUUCACCGUCGACAAUAUUGCACAAUGUAUGAAAGAAACGGUAUCGCCUGGACAGGAGCGUGAGGGCGCGGGCAAGCGUUUCCCCCCUACCGGAAAUCUGAUGGGCUUAUGACAUCAUGGCUGGCUGCUGAGCGAUGAAGUGGAUGCCACAAAGAAACCCGACAUAUCAGAUGGAUUCUGUAAUCAGUUUCCCUCCGGCUGUAGUAACAGGCGCAAAGUCAGGAGGAGCUGAGCUUUGUUUAAAAAACAAAAAAUAGAACUAAGACUUAACCUGUAUUCAAUACAUUUUUUUUUUUUUUUCAAAAGCGAACAGACCUUUUGGACAUCAUCCUAUUUGAAUAGAAAUGCUGGUUUUUAUGGAAUGAAAGUGGCUAAUAAACCAGACCUGAAACUGCCUGGGAACGCA
This is a long non-coding RNA of Bubalus bubalis (water buffalo), 1495 nucleotides long. RefSeq lists it as uncharacterized. The transcript has 2 exons. The record is from RefSeq and is a predicted model, not a curated record. NCBI's taxonomy places the organism in Eukaryota, Metazoa, Chordata, Mammalia, Artiodactyla, Bovidae.